This 675-nucleotide ribosomal RNA is filed under the name uncultured Alphaproteobacteria bacterium. Its description in RNAcentral is "bacterial SSU rRNA". It matches the Rfam family "Bacterial small subunit ribosomal RNA", at positions 28 to 750 of the family's 1533-position model. Lineage: Bacteria; Pseudomonadati; Pseudomonadota; Alphaproteobacteria. The record is from RNAcentral.
AGCGAACGCUGGCGGCAGGCCUAACACAUGCAAGUCGAACGAACUCUUCGGAGUUAGUGGCGGACGGGUGAGUAACACGUGGGAACGUGCCUUUAGGUUCGGAAUAACUCAGGGAAACUUGUGCUAAUACCGAAUGUGCCCUUCGGGGGAAAGAUUUAUCGCCUUUAGAGCGGCCCGCGUCUGAUUAGCUAGUUGGUGAGGUAAAGGCUCACCAAGGCGACGAUCAGUAGCUGGUCUGAGAGGAUGAUCAGCCACAUUGGGACUGAGACACGGCCCAAACUCCUACGGGAGGCAGCAGUGGGGAAUCUUGCGCAAUGGGCGAAAGCCUGACGCAGCCAUGCCGCGUGAAUGAUGAAGGUCUUAGGAUUGUAAAAUUCUUUCACCGGGGACGAUAAUGACGGUACCCGGAGAAGAAGCCCCGGCUAACUUCGUGCCAGCAGCCGCGGUAAUACGAAGGGGGCUAGCGUUGCUCGGAAUUACUGGGCGUAAAGGGAGCGUAGGCGGACAUUUAAGUCAGGGGUGAAAUCCCGGGGCUCAACCUCGGAAUUGCCUUUGAUACUGGGUGUCUUGAGUAUGAGAGAGGUGUGUGGAACUCCGAGUGUAGAGGUGAAAUUCGUAGAUAUUCGGAAGACACCAGUGGCGAAGGCGACACACUGGCUCAUUACUGACGCUGAG